Molecule: ribosomal RNA, 441 nt
Filed under: uncultured bacterium
Lineage: Bacteria
Description: bacterial SSU rRNA
Rfam family: Bacterial small subunit ribosomal RNA
Source: RNAcentral
CUUAUGCUUUUGGAGCGGCCGAUGUCUGNUUAGCUAGUUGGUAAGGUAAUGGCUUACCAAGGCAACGAUCAGUAGUUGGUCUGAGAGGACGACCAGCCACACUGGGACUGAGACACGGCCCAGACUCCUACGGGAGGCAGCAGUGGGGAAUUUUGGACAAUGGGCGCAAGCCUGAUCCAGCAAUGCCGCGUGAGUGAAGAAGGCCUUCGGGUUGUAAAGCUCUUUCAGUUGAGAAGAAAAGAUUGUGACUAAUAAUUGCAAUUCAUGACGGUAUCAACAGAAGAAGCACCGGCUAACUACGUGCCAGCAGCCGCGGUAAUACGUAGGGUGCGAGCGUUAAUCGGAAUUACUGGGCGUAAAGGGUGCGCAGGCGGUUCUGUAAGUCAGAUGUGAAAUCCCCGGGCUUAACCUGGGAACUGCGUUUGAAACUACAAGGCUAGA